AGAGUUUGAUCCUGGCUCAGAGCGAACGCUGGCGGCAUGCCUAACACAUGCAAGUCGCACGGGCCGGGCAACCGGUCAGUGGCGGACGGGUGAGUAGCGCGUAGGGAUCUGUCCAUGGCUGGGGGAUAACCACGGGAAACUGUGGCUAAUACCGCAUGAAGCCUGAGGGCCAAAGCCGCGAGGCGGCUGUGGAGGAGCCUGCGUCCGAUUAGCUUGUUGGCGGGGUAACGGCCCACCAAGGCUCCGAUCGGUAGCUGGUCUGAGAGGAUGAUCAGCCACACUGGGACUGAGACACGGCCCAGACUCCUACGGGAGGCAGCAGUGGGGAAUAUUGGACAAUGGGCGCAAGCCUGAUCCAGCAAUGCCGCGUGGGUGAAGAAGGUCUUCGGAUUGUAAAGCCCUUUCGGCGGGGACGAUGAUGACGGUACCCGCAGAAGAAGCCCCGGCUAACUUCGUGCCAGCCGCCGCGGUAAUUC
RNAcentral lists this ribosomal RNA (476 nucleotides) under uncultured bacterium. RNAcentral's name for it is "bacterial SSU rRNA". It matches the Rfam family "Bacterial small subunit ribosomal RNA", at positions 8 to 526 of the family's 1533-position model. The record is from RNAcentral.